GAUGCACUCUGGCGGCGUGCCUAAUACAUGCAAGUCGAGCGAACAGACAAGGAGCUUGCUCCUUUGACGUUAGCGGCGGACGGGUGAGUAACACGUGGGUAACCUACCUAUAAGACUGGGAUAACUUCGGGAAACCGGAGCUAAUACCGGAUAAUAUUUCGAACCGCAUGGUUCGAUAGUGAAAGAUGGUUUUGCUAUCACUUAUAGAUGGACCCGCGCCGUAUUAGCUAGUUGGUAAGGUAACGGCUUACCAAGGCGACGAUACGUAGCCGACCUGAGAGGGUGAUCGGCCACACUGGAACUGAGACACGGUCCAGACUCCUACGGGAGGCAGCAGUAGGGAAUCUUCCGCAAUGGGCGAAAGCCUGACGGAGCAACGCCGCGUGAGUGAUGAAGGUCUUCGGAUCGUAAAACUCUGUUAUUAGGGAAGAACAUACGUGUAAGUAACUAUGCACGUCUUGACGGUACCUAAUCAGAAAGCCACGGCUAACUACGUGCCAGCAAGCGCGGUAAUACGUAAGUGGCAAGCCGUAUCCGGGAAUUAUUGGGCGUAAAGCGCGCGUAGGCGGUUUUUUAGUCUGAUGUGAAAGCCCACGGCUCAACCUUGGAGGGUCAUUGGAAACUGGAAAACUUGAGUGCAGAAGAGGAAAGUGGAAUUCCAUGUGUAGCGGUGAAAUGCGCAGAGAUAUGGAGGAACACCAGUGGCGAAGGCGACUUUCUGGUCUGUAACUGACGCUGAUGUGCGAAAGCGUGGGGAUCAAACAGGAUUAGAUACCCUGGUAGUCCACGCCGUAAACGAUGAGUGCUAAGUGUUAGGGGGUUUCCGCCCCUUAGUGCUGCAGCUAACGCAUUAAGCACUCCGCCUGGGGAGUACGACCGCAAGGUUGAAACUCAAAGGAAUUGACGGGGACCCGCACAAGCGGUGGAGCAUGUGGUUUAAUUCGAAGCAACGCGAAGAACCUUACCAAAUCUUGACAUCCUUUGACAACUCUAGAGAUAGAGCCUUCCCCUUCGGGGGACAAAGUGACAGGUGGUGCAUGGUUGUCGUCAGCUCGUGUCGUGAGAUGUUGGGUUAAGUCCCGCAACGAGCGCAACCCUUAAGCUUAGUUGCCAUCAUUAAGUUGGGCACUCUAAGUUGACUGCCGGUGACAAACCGGAGGAAGGUGGGGAUGACGUCAAAUCAUCAUGCCCCUUAUGAUUUGGGCUACACACGUGCUACAAUGGACAAUACAAAGGGCAGCGAAACCGCGAGGUCAAGCAAAUCCCAUAAAGUUGUUCUCAGUUCGGAUUGUAGUCUGCAACUCGACUACAUGAAGCUGGAAUCGCUAGUAAUCGUAGAUCAGCAUGCUACGGUGAAUACGUUCCCGGGUCU
Molecule: ribosomal RNA, 1372 nt
Filed under: uncultured bacterium
Lineage: Bacteria
Description: bacterial SSU rRNA
Rfam family: Bacterial small subunit ribosomal RNA
Source: RNAcentral